AACCAGUGAUGAAAAGAUUCUGCCAAAUGAUUAUAUUGAUUAUAACCCUUACCGUUCCAUUAUUUCUGAGGUU
This 73-nucleotide small nucleolar RNA is filed under the name Poecilia mexicana. RNAcentral describes it as "Small nucleolar RNA SNORD47 (ENSPMEG00000015012.1)". It matches the Rfam family "Small nucleolar RNA SNORD47". From Rfam's summary of the family: U47 belongs to the C/D class of snoRNA which contain the C (UGAUGA) and D (CUGA) box motifs. The record is from RNAcentral. Lineage: Eukaryota; Metazoa; Chordata; Actinopteri; Cyprinodontiformes; Poeciliidae.